AGCGAACGCUGGCGGCGUGCUUAACACAUGCAAGUCGCGCGGGAAAGAGACUUUCGGGUCUUGAGUAGAGCGGCGGACGGGUGCGUAAGACGCGGGUGACCUAUCCGAGAGGCGGGGAGUAACCCAGCGAAAGGCGGGGCUAAUACCGGAUGAGCCCCCAGGCGGAAACGCGCGGGGGCGAAAGGAUGCUACUCGAUAGUGGCAUGUCCUCACGGAGGGGCCCACGGCCUAUCAGCUAGNGGUGUGGUAACGGCGCACCAAGGCGAAGACGGUAGCUGGUCUGAGAGGAUGGCCAGCCAC
RNAcentral lists this ribosomal RNA (300 nucleotides) under uncultured bacterium. RNAcentral describes it as "bacterial SSU rRNA". It matches the Rfam family "Bacterial small subunit ribosomal RNA", at positions 30 to 311 of the family's 1533-position model. The record is from RNAcentral.